RNAcentral lists this long non-coding RNA (2665 nucleotides) under Nicotiana benthamiana. RNAcentral describes it as "long non-coding RNA (NBEN_LNC034363)". The record is from RNAcentral. Lineage: Eukaryota; Viridiplantae; Streptophyta; Magnoliopsida; Solanales; Solanaceae.
GAAUAAAGAAAAGUAAAAUACAUCAGAAAACUAAACAGUCCCAGCCAAGGAGAGCCUGACUCAGAAUUCUAUCUGAAGCAUGAAGUAAACCAACUCCCAAGAUAAGAUUUCCAAAACCUUUCUCUUAUUUGGGAUGUGUCAGAGUUCCCUAAGAAUCUCAAACGGAUUCCGGGCAUUACUUACACCCAAAUAUAUUGUAGAAUUGGAUGAUGGUGCAGUGUGGAAGGGCCAACCCUCAAAUGUCCAAGUUCAAAGGGAAACUCAAGGUUCCCAAGGCAGGGCUGAUAGGAGGGUGGCAGAACUUAGGGUCUAAGAAUAAGUGCAGUAAAAGGGGAAGAAGCAAGCUGGUGGCCAUGCCUAGCAAUUUGGGGUGCUGGCACACCCUUGACCAGCUUGUCAGUUUAAAUUGAAGAGCUAAGACCUGUUGAAGGUCAGGUUCAGCCAUAGACAACAAUUUGUGUGCUACUAGGCUAUACCUUAACUCAACACACAUAGGGGAAUUUGGGUAUGGGAAGCUGAAAGAGACAAGAGCAGGCUGUGGACAUGUCCAGCAAUAGGGAAUGCUAACAUGCCCACAAUCUUGUUACAUUAUUUAGAGGCUAAGAUCGAGAAGAUCUGGUUUUAAUCCAUGGACAAUAACUUGUAUAUUGCCAUGUUUUAAACUAUAGCUCGAACACAUAAAAGGGGUAAGGAGUAGGGAUUCAUUGCAGAAACAGAUAGUAAUACAUAAGCAUACGACUUUAAAUGUUGAACUCUACAAAACAGUAAAGUAGGCAUGGAUGUAAAAGCUUGUAAACAAACACAUUGGUAAUGUUGGAAUCAGAAUUAGGACAUACCAGUUUCAUGGAAAUAAAUAAAUGAAACCAGGAGUCUUGUAAGCCAAGAAUGCGAGCAAGUAAUAUAAAAGAAUUCAGAGAAGAGUAGAGAAGACUAUUGUGUAAGAAUAUAUAAUUCGCAGUGUGUGUCUUCUGAAAAAAAGUUGUAUAUUUAUAAUGUGAAAGCUAUGAGAAAAUAAGGUAAGGAAAUAAUAGAAGCCUGCUUGUCAUAAGACUACCUUUAAUUAAGGGAUUCAAAUUCAAAUGGGCAACACAAUUAAGGGAAGGAUUUUUAAAGAAUAUUUCCCAGCAGUAUGAUAAAGGGUAAGUGCAUAAAAGCCAUUUAAGGAGGCAAACCAAUUGUACACGGUUUUUGUAAAAAAAAAGGAAAGGGAAUCAAAUUGUAAAGCUAAAAUUACAUGCUUAUUCGAAUGAAUCAGGUCGAUAAAUAGGGUAAAGAAAUUUUCACCGUAGGGAAAAUCAGGAGCAAUAAAAUAAACACAAUCAAAGGGAUUCAGAAUCAAUUAGUAGUUGGCAAAACCUUUUGAAAGAAGAAUUCUCAUAUAUAAGGUACACAAACAUGUGUGUCAAGAAGAGACUGUCGAUUUAUGUAAGAGAGAGGAGUUCAGAAUCAUAAAGACUCAAAAGUCAUGAGCAAAGAGAUACAAUUUCAAUUUACAGACUCACAGUGAGUCUGAGAGUCUAGGGUCCCAAAGUGGAGCCUUAACUCGAAAGAAUCAUAAUCAUUUGAGGAAACCUCCAAAUCUUAGGGUCUCAAAAUUGAAUCAAACAUGGAAGCAAGCCAUUUGCUUCAAAGUCUCAACAAACAGAUAUGAUAGCAUGUUGAAUGACAAAGGAAGAAGAAUCAUGAGAACAUAUUCUGAGAGAACUUGGACCCUAAACAAGUUCAAAAGAAUGAGAUAAUACAAUGUGAACACAAAUAGAUGAAGCAUGUAAGAACAUGAACAGAGUCCAGUAAACAAGAAUCAAAUAACUUAACGGUAAAUACACAUAAUAAAAGAGUAGAUAGAACAUAGCAAAGAUUAACAAGAGUAACAUGCAAUCACAGUAGAAAGAUUCAAAGUACACAUUGGCGAAUACUGAUAAGAACAAUAGGAAAGACAUGCUUAGCAGAACCUUAAACAAGGCUCAAUGGAAGGCAUAAAAAGAACCAUAUGGACUUAGCAAGAAAAGUAUAGUAAAAAAAAAAAAGAAUCACCGGGAAAGGUAUAUCAGGAAAGCAAAUAGGAAAAUACAGUACGAUAAACAUACAAGCACAUCAUAAGAUACAGCAGAAAAGUCAAGAACAUAUUAUAGAAAAACACAGUACGUCAGAGGACAACACAAAGAAGCAAAAAUUCAUAAAACUCCUGAUCAUUUUCCAGAAAACCCUAAAUCGGCAAAGAAGGGUUUUUAAAAGUAAUUUUCAAAGAAAGAUUUAGGGAAAUUGUUUGAAAACUCGCGCAUAGCAUAGAUACACAACGGAUCUAAAAAGAAUCGAAGAAAAACCUCGAAUAGCUAGGGUUUCAGAGGAACCCUAGGGUGAGAAAGGCUUUGGAAAAAGGUCCGAUCUAAGUCGGAUAAGAUUGGAAUCAGGCUCAGGAGGCUAGGAUAUGCCGGAGCAAAGCCUGGAGAUGACCGGAAACCUUGAGUCAGUAAAGGUCUGGUCUCAAACCUUUAGGCAUCAUGCACACAGGAGUAAUAGGAGGUGAGUGUAUGUCAUCUAUGGCCUGAGAAGCCAUGGAUUUGGGUGGGGUUGUGGUCGGAGAGGCGGUAGAGUUCAUCAGAGAAGAGAGAACCAGAAGGUUCUAGAGAGAAGGGAGAGGGAGAGGCGACAUAGAGAGAGAGAG